Oncorhynchus tshawytscha (Chinook salmon) is the source of this 1279-nucleotide long non-coding RNA. NCBI's taxonomy places the organism in Eukaryota, Metazoa, Chordata, Actinopteri, Salmoniformes, Salmonidae. The record is from Ensembl.
AUUGUUGUGCCAGAGAUGUUUUUCUUUCCGGACACACCGAAGGACACAUGCAACACUUACAACAGCAAAAAUAGAGAAUGACAAACGCAAAUUGAUUAGCAUCCUAGGCCAUAACACUUCAGCCGAAAGAGUUUCCAAAAAGGUAGGCCUAUGUCAGACUCAGAAUCAAACGCAUAUUUUUUAUUCCAAUUUUUGCCAUGCAUGAGAUGAGGAUAUGCUGCUAUGGGAAAACAACUUCACUGUUCCGUUAUGCCGACACACACAGACGAGUAACGGCUGAGAAAUAGACAAUCACAGCAAGACAUGUGUCGGGCCAAACGGACAUGAUCAACCCAACAACAGAACUGAAAGACGACCACCACGCACGUGGUGGUAGAGCGCGUCUAUUCACAGGAGAACAGGAGGCUGCCAUUGUGCAAAUGGUAGUUGAACAUAAUGCCAUAAGACUGCGAAAAUCCAACAACAGAUGAUUGAAAACCCUGCCAUCUUCCAUAACAUCAGAGUGAGCUUGUCAACCGUAGCAUGCAUCCUUAAGAAACACAAUCUCCGGAUGAAGCAAAUCUACAGAGUCCCAUUUGAAGGAAUUCCCAAAGAGCGAAGGAUAAACAGUAUUUACUAUCAUUUCAGAGAUUCAUGGAGUUGGAUGCAAGUCCCAUCCCCCGGGAACUCAUACUCUUAGAUGAGGCAGGAUUAAAUUUAGCAAAGAUGAGGAAGAGAGGAAGGAACAUCAUUGGUCAACACGACAUUGUUGAGAUGUUCUACUCCCCGUACCUGCUUCUCCAGCGUCGGUCCUUACAGAAUGUGUAUGAUCACAAACUCCAUGAACGUAUGGCCCUUCUCCAGGCAAUGGAGGAGGCCUGUGGUGACAUUCCAGCAGAGUCAUGUCAGGGGUGGAUGUGUCAUGCCAGAAGAUAUUUCCCCCGCUGUCUGGCCUGUGAUAUUGAUGAAAAUCUGUGGCUAGACCAAAACAACAGACAUUACUGAUUUUGUUUUCGCAAUGGAGUAUUUGUUUCUUGACUUAUGACUUAUGAUUUGACUGUAUUUUGACAGUUUCUUUAUCUAUUCCGUACAGUUGAUCUAACAUGCAGUACAGUAGUACAAAUAGGCCUAUUUUUAUUCCUCUGCAUAUGCAUUUUUACUGUAUGUGUGCUUACAGUAUGCUGUUUGACAUGUGUUGAGUUGAAAUAUAAAACGGACAUUUUUGUAUUUGUGUUCCUUUCUUCAAUGUACAGUAUAACAACAAAAUAUUAGUCUUUACACUGAAAUUGGUUCUGAUAGU